This 1370-nucleotide long non-coding RNA is filed under the name Coturnix japonica (Japanese quail). RNAcentral's name for it is "lncRNA (ENSCJPG00005018378.1)". The record is from RNAcentral. Lineage: Eukaryota; Metazoa; Chordata; Aves; Galliformes; Phasianidae.
CUGCUCGGCCGCCGCGCUGCGGCCGCGGGUCCCCCCGGAGCCCCGCGCUGCCGGCGCCGCGGCGGAGGUCGGGCGGAGGGGAUGGCGGCGCUGCGCGGUGCGGUGCCGGCGGCCGCAGCGCUGCCCGCUCCCGGCGGCGGCGGAGCGAGCGCGCACACGUGACGCGGCGCUCGGUGCUCCUACACCGCCGCGCACACACACACACACACACAUACACAUACACACGCUCACACACACGCACACCCGGCGCUGCCCUCGGCUCCUCCGGCCGCGUUCUCCGCCUCCCGCUCCCGUCCGCACUCGUCCGCCGGCCGCGCAGGGCGAAGCGCGCUCCGAGGCGGCAGCACCGGCACCGGCGGCGGCGACCGCGAAAGAGGCGGCGAGAGUUCGCGUGCACCGGCUGCUGCGUGCCCGCCCGGCGAGCGGUGCGCCCGGAGAAUGGCCGGCUGCGGGCUGUCUGAAGACGCGUUCUUCUCCUCCUUCUUUUACAACUACACCGCCUCCUGGGAGACCUCCUACAACCAGGUCACUUCCAAUCUUCACCCAGGGCAGUGUCAACGAAGGACUUUUGUUGAAUUCAAGUAGACUUUAUCACAAUGAUCUCUCAUCCCUGCAUGCUCAGUGAUUUUUUUUCAGAGGACUCUCAUGUAUCCAAAAGGCACAAUUUCCUUCUACAAAAGCCAUGUUGAUCUUUUUGCAAAAGGAGAGGUCAUUCAAUUGUUGUCAGUAAGGGGCAUUUGAAAGCUGAAAAUUCAGUGGUGAUUAAAAACUAAUCAAAAACUAGUUGUGAAACUGAAUUUUUGACUCUUUGCUUACAGAGCUGUGGUGUUAGUAAGCACACUGAAUAUUGGGGAUAUUGACUGGCUUGAGAGUAUUGAAUUUGAAGUAAUUUCGGGUAGUUAUUUUAAAAUGGUUUGGUUCAUGAUUCAGCGGAAAACAUGCUUUGCACGCAGACCUUAUUUGAAUGCCAAAUCUGAAAUUCUAACACUAAGCUGUUUUCUAGAUAUUCAUCCUUCUAGCAGAAGUAGUGGCCGCACUAUUUUACAUUUCCGUAACUUCCAUGUAUAUGAGAGGAUUUUUGCCAAACAGCUGUAUUGCCAAAAAUGGCAUUCUACUGAGGGGAGAAAAAGCAUAGAUAAACAGGUUGUCAUAAUGCUGUAGUAGAUUCAAAAGGUUCUGCUUCUCCUAUAUUUCUAUAUCUCCUAUAUCUGCAAAAAAGAACACAUACAUGGAAUUAUCUAUGAAGUCUACGUCCAUUCAGCAGACGUUAGAUAAGCAGUACUGUGUUUUUUCCACACUGUCUUUGUUAUUUGUUUUCUGAGGGAGUUGUGAGAAAUAAAACCUUUACUGAAUCCCUGGAUUUUCUUUAU